CGCCCCUCAAGCCCCCUGUGGGUUUGGUGUUGGGGAUCGGCGAAGCCUGCCUGGCUAGCACGCGCCGUCCCCUAAAUUCAUUGGCGGUCUCGCCGUGGCCCUCCUCUGCGCAGUAGCAGCACAAAACUCGCAACAGGAGCCCGGCGCGGUCCACAGCCGUAAAACCCCCCCAACUUUUUACAG
This 183-nucleotide unclassified non-coding RNA is filed under the name uncultured Metarhizium. RNAcentral's name for it is "sequence contains ITS2". Lineage: Eukaryota; Fungi; Ascomycota; Sordariomycetes; Hypocreales; Clavicipitaceae. The record is from RNAcentral.